RNAcentral lists this non-coding RNA (90 nucleotides) under human gut metagenome. RNAcentral's name for it is "Glycine riboswitch". It matches the Rfam family "Glycine riboswitch aptamer". From Rfam's summary of the family: This family represents the bacterial glycine riboswitch. Glycine riboswitches usually consist of two metabolite-binding aptamers domains with similar structures in tandem. The aptamers cooperatively bind glycine to regulate the expression of downstream genes. The record is from RNAcentral.
AGAAUCUCUGGAGAAUCCCUUGUAUCAAGGGUGCCGAAGGUGCAAGACUCGCAGGCCGGGUCGAAUCUCUCAGGCAAAAGGACAGAGCGG